CAUUGCACAGGUUCCUCGGAUCAAUGCGUGUAUAGCAACUCGAUCCGCGUUCUUGUUAACCUGAACGGAACUGCAUUAGUUCGGUUGCAGAGGCGUGGACGUGCAAUCGGCAACAUGAAGUACGUGAAAGGAAUCGACCAGAGGAUGAAGGGAAGGAAGGAGCAGGCGACGAUGGGGAAAUACGGACGAAUAAACAAGAAGAAGAAGGGAACAGCUAAAGGACCGUUCAUGAGGAACCCAAACCUUCGAUCCCUCUUGAUCAGGGACGGGAAUUAUGUGACCCUGAAACCUGCGUCCUCACUUGACCUUGACCUGUGAAGCAGUCUUGUGGGAAGGAGAUCGGUCAACACCCCGGUGGAUGAAGAUUUUUUUUUUGGGGGGGUCAUAUAAUCUUGAUUUUUUCUUCUAUUUCUUUCUUUCUUUUUUGGGUAAUUUGUCACAUCUAUCACAAAUAUGUCGCUUCGUUUUGAGAGGGACAUAUACCAUCACCCGAUCUCGGUUUAUCGAAGUCCCGUUUUAAUUAAGAGAAUACUAAGCUCGCGGGAUGUGUUAGUUCUGACGUAAUCUCAGAUGUUCAUUCCGACUUAAUUGAUCUGACACUCGAUUCCAAGCAGUCUGGCAGACACCGAGAGCCUCAGACACCAAGAGCCACAACAUGAAAUACGGCUUCGUCAAUAAAUCGAUUAAAUUGAUCGCCUUCUUGAUUAAGUGGUUCGGGAUCCUUUGCACAGAGAGUUUUAUCUUCAUUCCUUUAUUGAUCUAAAUAAUGGAAGAGGAGGAUAAAUAUCUUCGGUAUACGUUAUUUCAUUAACUUGAUUUAAUAAAGUUGAUAAAAUGUA
This 839-nucleotide long non-coding RNA is filed under the name Penaeus japonicus. RNAcentral's name for it is "uncharacterized LOC122253603". Lineage: Eukaryota; Metazoa; Arthropoda; Malacostraca; Decapoda; Penaeidae. The record is from RNAcentral.